Molecule: transfer RNA, 73 nt
Filed under: Ixodes scapularis (black-legged tick)
Lineage: Eukaryota; Metazoa; Arthropoda; Arachnida; Ixodida; Ixodidae
Rfam family: tRNA
About the family: Transfer RNA (tRNA) molecules are approximately 80 nucleotides in length. Their secondary structure includes four short double-helical elements and three loops (D, anti-codon, and T loops).
Source: Rfam by way of RNAcentral
CCCUGCUUAGCUCAGUUGGUAGAGCGCUUCACUGGAAAGGGAAAGGUCCCGGAUUCGAUAUCCGGACCAGGCG